Molecule: ribosomal RNA, 372 nt
Filed under: uncultured organism
Description: bacterial SSU rRNA
Rfam family: Bacterial small subunit ribosomal RNA
Source: RNAcentral
CGGAGGGUGCGAGCGUUGUUCGGAAUUACUGGGCGUAAAGCGCGCGCAGGUGGGUGCGCAAGUCGGAGGUGAAAGCGCAGGGCUCAACCCUGCGACGCCCUCCGAGACUGCGUGUCUAGGGACCGGUAGAGGUGAGUGGAAUUCCCGGUGUAGCGGUGGAAUGCGUAGAUAUCGGGAAGAACACCGGAGGCGAAGGCGGCUCACUGGGCCGGAUCCGACACUGAGGCGCGAAAGCGUGGGGAGCAAACAGGAUUAGAUACCCUGGUAGUCCACGCCGUAAACGAUGGGUGCUAGGUGUCGGGGGGAGCGACCCCCUCGGUGCCGCAGCUAACGCAUUAAGCACCCCGCCUGGGGAGUACGGCCGCAAGGCUG